This 407-nucleotide ribosomal RNA is filed under the name uncultured Catenulispora sp. Its description in RNAcentral is "bacterial SSU rRNA". It matches the Rfam family "Bacterial small subunit ribosomal RNA", at positions 355 to 774 of the family's 1533-position model. The record is from RNAcentral. Lineage: Bacteria; Bacillati; Actinomycetota; Actinomycetes; Catenulisporales; Catenulisporaceae.
UGGGGAAUAUUGCACAAUGGGCGAAAGCCUGAUGCAGCGACGCCGCGUGAGGGAUGACGGCCUUCGGGUUGUAAACCUCUUUCAGCAGGGACGAAGCGCAAGUGACUGUACCUGCAGAAGAAGCACCGGCUAACUACGUGCCAGCAGCCGCGGUAAUACGUAGGGUGCGAGCGUUGUCCGGAAUUAUUGGGCGUAAAGAGCUUGUAGGUGGCUCGUUGCGUCGGGAGUGAAAACCCGCGGCUUAACCGCGGGCCUGCUUCCGAUACGGGCGAGCUAGAGUUCGGCAGGGGAGACUGGAAUUCCUGGUGUAGCGGUGGAAUGCGCAGAUAUCAGGAGGAACACCGGUGGCGAAGGCGGGUCUCUGGGCCGAUACUGACACUGAGAAGCGAAAGCGUGGGGAGCGAACA